Molecule: long non-coding RNA, 2622 nt
Organism: Papaver somniferum (opium poppy)
Lineage: Eukaryota; Viridiplantae; Streptophyta; Magnoliopsida; Ranunculales; Papaveraceae
Exons: 3
Source: RefSeq, a predicted model, not a curated record
AUCGAUCCUUCUUCUCCACUCGUUUAAUAUUUCAUUUCUUCUUUCUUCUCCCCACCACCACCAGCAGCUCCUCUGAUCGCAGCACCACCACUAAGCCACUGUCACUUCAAGAUCUGCCACGAUCACCGUCGCCUCUUCCUCUAGCACCUCAUCCUCCUUCUCUCAGACCGUCGUACCCGUUAUCGAUUUAUGAUCCUCCAUCAACGCCAGAUCCGCCUCCUCUUCGUCCUCCUUCCUCACCAGCGCCACUUGCACCUUCUCCAACUCCAAUACAAUCAAAUCUCACUUCUAAACCACCUCCACCAUCACCACCGCCAAUUUUACGACGUUCAAUUAGUUCCGGUAUGAUUAAUUUUGGUUGAUUUUUAAUUUAUACUGAUUUUGUUCAAUUGGUAUUUAAUCUCUCAAUGAAAAUUUUAGUUUGAUCAGAUCCAAUUUGUUUUUGAAAAAUUUAGCGAUUUUUCUUUUUAAUUCUCAUAGAUUGUUAUCCCAUCGAUUGGAUGGAAUUUUGCUCCUAAGAAAUGAUUUAGAUCUUCUUAACAUUAAAUCAAAUUGAAAUAUCUAAAAGGAUACAAAAUGGAAGGGUAUCUCUUUGAAGGAUAAAUUUAGGGGGAACUCAUUUGGAAUGUGGAAGAAAUGAUUCGUAAAAAUUGGGAGUUGGGUUUUAUUAUCGCAAACAUAAUCUGUCAUCGGAAGAUUAUGAAGAUAAAGCACAUAACUGCAAAAGUAAAAAGGAGGAAUUCAAGACGUUCAAGAUGGAAAAAUGCGGAGACUGGUGCGAGCAUUUUUACUGUGAAUCGAUACGUUAAUGGUGGUGGUGUACAUGGAUGGAACAUCAGGCGUACACUGACUAUGGCCUUGACUUGAGGAUCAUAUUUAACUUGGUAUUUCAGGUACGCUUAACGUAACCUUUUUUUCAUAUGUGCCAAACUAAUUAGUACAAUGAAUUUUACAAGAGUACAUGUAACUUAGGUAUGACAAUUUACUACUAUGAAUAAGUGGAUUCUAUUAAGAGCUGUGUGGUAGCUAUAAACGUUUAUGAAAAUUGAAAGGAGCAAUGUAGUUAGGUUAAUCUAUUUACUUGAUACCAAUGCUUUAUAAAUUUUUUUUGUAAUGUCCCUAUAUGUGCGGGAGACAUACUUAUGUGGAGCUUUAGAAGGAUGGCAUUUUGUGAUGUUUUUCAAGUAAGGAUUCCCUCUAUAACUCUCAAAACUAUUAACUAAGAUCUUAGACAAUAACAAUUGUUGAUAAUUGUGUUGUCGUCAUUAGUUGUUUCCAUUUCAUAGGUUUUCUUUGCUUUCCCAGGGGCUUCAAUUGUAGAUGCAAACAAUGAAUCUCAAAUAUCCAUGUAUAGUUUACAUCUAUGUGCUUCCACAUGUAGAUUUUACAUUAUUAUAUAAAGUUCUUAGAACUAUUUAUUUGGUUAUUCAUUUCCACGGUUUGUGUUUCACAUAGGAAGUUUAUAAUUCAAACGGACCUAAUAUUUCACAUUUGUUCUAUUGGGGUUGUUGAGUACUUACAUACCAAGUGGUACUACAUGAUGGUUUAUAUUACGAAACUUGGUUUAAUCUAAUUUUGUUUUAGUGAUAUAACAAAUUUAUGAUGAAACCAGUUUCGGUUUCAUCUAAUUUCGUUGGAACCAAUUUUGGUUUCAUCUUAUUGUGUUUCUUUUAUGAUGAAACCAAAUUUUGCUUUCACCUGAUUUUUUUCCUAGUUUAUUUGACCUGACUUGGAAGUCGGCGUGUUUCGUUUCAUCAUUGAAGUUUGUGUUGGUGACUUGGAAGUCGGCGUGUUUGGUUUCAUCAUUGAAGUUUGUGUUAGUGAAAUGACAAUAUGUGGAAAAAUGAUGAAACCAAUUUCGGCUUCAUCUAGUUUUGGUGAAACCAAUUUUGGUUUCAUUGUUUUUUCUGUUUGGUUUCAUCAUUUUUUUUCUCAUUGGUUUCAUCAUUUUGUUGAAUACUGAUCAAUGAAAUUCAUUUUUUGUGACGGUGGCGGCUGGUUGGUGGUGGUGGUCCGAAUCGACGAUGGUAGAGUCAAUUCCUAACUUAAGCAGAAGUAUGAGAAGAAGGUGUGGGAGGAUGAAGCAGAGAAAAAAUGUGGGGAUAUCUUAAUGCUUUGGAAUUUCCUUACAAAAAGGAAGAAGAUUAUAGAGUCAAUUCCCAACUUCUGGUCAACUACGUUCGGUUUUCUGGGUUUACCUUCGCUUCAAAAACUCUUGAUUGAAGAAGACAAGAAGGUUUGACUCUGAUACGUGAACUGAAAUUUAUAAGUCUAUAUGAUGAUAUUCCCUUUGAUACAUGUGAUGAUUUCCCCUGAUUUAUAUAUGUCGAGGGAUUAGUUGUUGAAACCUGACAUUCUAAUCUUUGAAUAUUUGACACUAACAUUAUGGUUUCAUCUUAUGUUUAUGAUGAAACCAAAAUCGGUUUCAUCGUAUUAAUGAUGAAACCAAAAUCAGUUUUAUCUAAUUUUUGGUCGGUGGUGGUGGUGGGCGGUCGUAGUGCUGGUGGAGGUGCGGCAGGUGGUGCUGGUUUUGGUCGGUAGUGGUCAACGAUGUUGGUGAUCGACGGUGGUGGAUAGUGGUGGUGCUGGCUGGUGGAGGUGGCUAUCGCAGUGGCGUAUGGU